Molecule: transfer RNA, 71 nt
Filed under: Scleropages formosus (Asian bonytongue)
Lineage: Eukaryota; Metazoa; Chordata; Actinopteri; Osteoglossiformes; Osteoglossidae
Rfam family: tRNA
About the family: Transfer RNA (tRNA) molecules are approximately 80 nucleotides in length. Their secondary structure includes four short double-helical elements and three loops (D, anti-codon, and T loops). Further hydrogen bonds mediate the characteristic L-shaped molecular structure. tRNAs have two regions of fundamental functional importance: the anti-codon, which is responsible for specific mRNA codon recognition, and the 3' end, to which the tRNAs corresponding amino acid is attached (by aminoacyl-tRNA synthetases). tRNAs cope with the degeneracy of the genetic code in two manners: having more than one tRNA (with a specific anti-codon) for a particular amino acid; and 'wobble' base-pairing, i.e. permitting non-standard base-pairing at the 3rd anti-codon position.
Source: Rfam by way of RNAcentral
GCAUUGGUGGCUUAGUAGUAGUGUUUUCCUUUGUGAUGUGAGAGCCCUGGGUUUGAUUCCCAACUAAUGCA